This is a non-coding RNA of Mycena galopus ATCC 62051, 97 nucleotides long. Lineage: Eukaryota; Fungi; Basidiomycota; Agaricomycetes; Agaricales; Mycenaceae. The record is from the annotation of a GenBank genome assembly.
GGUCCGAUGGUGUAGUUGGUUAUCACUUCUGUCUAACAGUUUACGGAUCACGUGACUGGAACACAGGCGGUCCUCAGUUCGAACCUGGGUCGGAUCA